UACGGAGGGGGCAAGCGUUGUUCGGAAUUAUUGGGCGUAAAGGGCGCGUAGGCGGCCGAAUAAGUCUGACGUGAAAUCCCCCGGCCCAACCGGGGAACUGCGUUUGAAACUGUUCGGCUCGAGUCCGGGAGAGGGUAGUGGAAUUCCCAGUGUAGCGGUGAAAUGCGUAGAUGUUGGGAGGAACACCGGUGGCGAAGGCGGCUACCUGGACCGGUACUGACGCUGAGGCGCGAAGGCCAGGGGAGCAAACGGG
RNAcentral lists this ribosomal RNA (253 nucleotides) under uncultured bacterium. RNAcentral describes it as "partial 16S ribosomal RNA". It matches the Rfam family "Bacterial small subunit ribosomal RNA", at positions 524 to 776 of the family's 1533-position model. The record is from RNAcentral.